RNAcentral lists this long non-coding RNA (3125 nucleotides) under Homo sapiens (human). Its description in RNAcentral is "HSALNT0139978". Lineage: Eukaryota; Metazoa; Chordata; Mammalia; Primates; Hominidae. The record is from RNAcentral.
AGAAGGAAAUGGCACUCAUGUUUUCUGAAUUCCAAGAAGCAGGAAUUGAGCACUAUCCUUCAUGCAAGAACUAGCUGCACAAACUCACUUUCAACUGGGAUAGAACUGCCACAGGAAGGGCUGGAAUGGCUUUCUCCAAGUGCAUACAUCCACCCCCAGUGAGAAGAGUCUCUGCUGUGUUUGCAACAGUGAACAAGGAAAGCAUGGAGAUGACCCCGUCUCCUUGCCCUUGACAUUCCUACAUUGAUUGUCAAGGUGUUGAAAUUUCCACCAUGUAGUUUUUUCUCCACACUCACAGAGAGGCUCACGGUAAACCUCCUAAAGCAUCUUAUUAAAAGAGAAACGCUACAGCCAUAGUCACAGAUGAGCUCUGGUGACUAAAAUCCCACCUACCACUACUUGACUGUUGCGGUCCCUGAAGCCUACAAAAUCGCAGAAUGAUUGCUGGUUCUCAAACCUCUAGGUUACUUUAUGAUUGGGAAUUUUACAUAUAUCCAUUGCCUGAAAUGCCCUUAGCAUCUAUUACCCUUUGAGACUUAGCUUCAAUAUCAAGUAAUGAAGCCUUUCUUAAGUACCUAGAGAAAAUCAGUUUUCCGGUCUUUCAUGCUACCUUUGUACACACAGCUUUCUGUUGUUACCUUUUCAAAUCAAUCAUUUCACCAUUAUUUCUCUAUGCAUUCAUUCAUUAUUUCAACAAAUAUUUAUCGGGUGUUUAAUAUGUUUAUAGCCAUGUGCUAAGCACUGAGGUUAUACUUUGUCGUGACUCCAUGGUUAAACUCCACAGGGACAAGAUCCACACAAAUAUUCUGUGUGAAGGACACAUAAAUAGUUUGGGGGUACAUCAUGCCUAUGACUGAUAUGAAGAAGGUGUAAACAAAUGUAUAUUGAAUUAAAGAAUACCUUAAAUAUUUGUUUGUAAGAGAUAUAGUUUUAGGAUUUGUUACAAUAGUUAGAAAAGGGUUUCAUGAAUAUGGAAUGAAAGCUUAGACUGCAACUGUUUUACAAAGCGCUUUUAAAAGUAACUACUAAAAUAAUCUAGUAACACUUUUAGAGUCAUUUAGAAAAGAAUAAAAUAAUCUUAGCCUAGCUAACAGGAUGUUCCAAUAAAACUAUUGUGAAGUGGUAGGACUCUUGAUUAUGGUGAGAAUGGGUCAGAAUGGAUGAAUCAACACAUUUGUGUAAAGAAUAAUAUCUAGAAAUGAUGACAAUGUAUAUUUGAAAGAAAAGAGUAUUAAAAAUGUCUUUAAAUUUUCCAAUUUGUUGUACUCAUAGGAAAAUAGGAGGUGAAAAUGAAAUACUUAGAGAUGGUGUCUUAAUUUAUUUCAAGAAUUUGAGGUAAAAAGGAACUGCUCUGCCCUGUUAAUAUGUGAGAUGAGCAAUUUAGGAGGGAGGUCAGACUGGAAAAGUGAAUUUACUGAACACCAUGAUAGUCAUGUUGUUUAAUGACUUAAGAAUAGACAGUAAAAGAGGUUCUCCUAUCAUAGCCCUACAUCCUCUGGAAAUACAUGCUACAUUAAAAUUUAUAUUUCUAUUUCCAUAUGCUUGGUAUGACUAAUGGCAGAAACUGUGAAGAAUCCUAGGAGAAAAAUGGUCUGCAUUUGCUUCAGACUUAUUGCAAAGUGUAUGUAUGAAGGAAAACAUUACUUCUAAUUCUACCAGACCAUCACCUGCAUGAGUCCCUGUGAUGCUUCCCAAAUCCAUCCAAAUGCUUAACUGAAGCUUGAAUUUAUUAUUUUCAAGUUCGAUGUAAAAGUUCUUCUUUUUAAACUUGACACUGUAUACUGUGGCUUAAAUAUUUAAGCAAGGCUCUUUCGAAGAUUGAGGAAGAAACACUCACACAUCAAAAGUAUCUAAUGUUUAAUUCAGCGAGGUAAGCUUUCUCAAACUCUGAAGCUUAUGUGAAGCUGUUUGGAAUUUUUUCAAAGGUCUUUUAUCUCUAAAUCAAAACAGAAUUUUUUUUAAAAAAAUUAUAAUAAUUCUUCAAAACAGAAAUAACUUCUGUCAGAGUUCUUUGGUUUCUACCUAAAAGAAACAGUUACGUGGCAAUUGUUUAUUUAUUUCUACAUGAACCCAACAUGUUCAAAUUCUAAAAGAUUUAGACAAGCUUGCUUCAGUCAUACAUAAAGAUUUUGAAAACUUAUUAUUCAAGCCAACUAAGAUUCUUGCUAGAAAACUCAAACAAAGAACAAUAAUUGGUUUGAAAACUGCAGAAUAUACUUUGUAGAUUAUGACUCUUCAUUGAUAAACAGAUAAGUAAACACCCACAAAUCAAUAUGUAAACAAUAGAACUGGCUAUUAAGUUUUUGCUAAAAGAUCUUCCUUGAGAGAGUUUAUAGAAUUUGCUAAUUUUUUCUUUUUUGUCUUAUUUAAUGUUAGUUAUCAAAGCCAAGUCUUCCCAGACCCUUACUAAUUAAUCUCAACAAUUUGUUUUUGAAAUUUUGAAAACAUAGAAAUAUUAGGAGAAUCUCCACUGGAGUGAUUCAAGAGAGUUCUAAAACAUGGAGACUGACAAAAACAUUCAGAUAGAAAUCUGCAGUUAAUAGUAAUAAAAUGACGGCAGUCACUGUGAUGAUAUGAUAAUUGUGAUGAUUAGGCUGCUGGUUUGGAAUCCUGGAUAAAUCUCUUAAACUAGCUUUAUGGCUUUUAGCAAGUUAUGUAACCUUUGAAAUAUUCACCUGGUUUUUAAAACCACAUUCUGUGGAUGUAAGAUCUAAAUAAGAUAACCCAUAUAAAUAAUGUAGUAUGUCUCGCACAUACUAAGCGCAUGCUAAGACUUUCCCCAUGCUUUCUUUUUUUUGGCUUCUUUUAUUAUUAUUAUUAUUAUUAUACUUUAAAUUCUAGGGUACACUUGCACAACAUCCAUGUUUUAAGUCUCCACCCACUUGUCCUUGAAAAUUCUAAUCUCUUUUGUUUACCAAGGCCAGUGAUAAUGAAGUCUUAUGAUAAAACCUGUUCCUAUAACAUUCCUUCUAGUCAUUACACAUUUUAAUCUCUCGUUUAUUAAGUUAGGUGCCUGUAAUAAUAACAUUUUCUAGAAUAUUUUUUACUGCUUUUAGCAUGGCUAACUUUUUUCACCUUUCCUUCAGUAAAUGCUGCCUCAUUUUAAGGUUUAUUCUGAACACCCA